This 488-nucleotide ribosomal RNA is filed under the name uncultured Glomeraceae. RNAcentral describes it as "SSU rRNA". It matches the Rfam family "Eukaryotic small subunit ribosomal RNA", at positions 609 to 1098 of the family's 1831-position model. The record is from RNAcentral. Lineage: Eukaryota; Fungi; Glomeromycota; Glomeromycetes; Glomerales; Glomeraceae.
GUUGUUGCAGUUAAAAAGCUCGUAGUUGAAUUUCGGGGUUAGUAGGUUGGCCAUGCCUCUGGUAUGUACUGGUCUCACUGAUUCCUCCUUCCUUAUGAAUCGUAACGCCAUUAAUUUGGUGUUGCGGGGAAUUUGGACUGUUACUUUGAAAAAAUUAGAGUGUUUAAAGCAAGCUAACGCUUGAAUACAUUAGCAUGAAAUAAUGAAAUAGGACGUUCGAUCUUAUUAUGUUGGUUUCUAGGAUUGACGUAAUGAUUAACAGGGAUAGUUGGGGGCAUUAGUAUUCAAUUGUCAGAGGUGAAAUUCUUGGAUUUAUUGAAGACUAACUACUGCGAAAGCAUUUGCCAAGGAUGUUUUCAUUAAUCAAGAACGAAAGUUAGGGGAUCGAAGACGAUCAGAUACCGUCGUAGUCUUAACCAUAAACUAUGCCGACUAGGGAUCGGAUGAUGUUAAUUUUUUAAUGACUCAUUCGGCGCCUUACGGGAAAC